AGCAGUGAGGAAUAUUGGUCAAUAGCCUAACGGCUGAACCAGCAACUUGGAAGAAUGUAUAGCAAUAGCUGAUUGCACCAACAAACAGUUGAUGCAAGAUUGACUCUGUCAAAUAAAAUUCUAGGUAGUAUUAUGAUAAUGACAUUGUCUGCCUAUAAGUCUUGACCAAAUUACGUGCCAGCAGUCGCGGUAAUACGUAGAAGACUAGUGUUAUUCAUCUUUAAUUGGUUUAAAGGGUACCUAGACGGCAAAUAAAGCCUUCGCAGGGACUAAUUUGCUAGAGUUACUUGUGAGGGGGUAUUAAAGUACUGCAGGUGUAGAGAUGAAAUUCUGUCAUACCUCUUUUUGAAAGAAAAAUUAUGGCACAGGUAUAGGUGAAAACAUCCCCUUAUGUGAUAACUGACGUUGAAGGACGA
This 416-nucleotide ribosomal RNA is filed under the name Ramalinora glaucolivida. RNAcentral's name for it is "SSU rRNA". It matches the Rfam family "Bacterial small subunit ribosomal RNA", at positions 350 to 756 of the family's 1533-position model. The record is from RNAcentral. Lineage: Eukaryota; Fungi; Ascomycota; Lecanoromycetes; Lecanorales; Lecanoraceae.